UUAUGGUCAAAUCUCAGUGAAAACACCGGUUCUCAUUUGAUCACCAUUAAGUUAAGCAAUGUCGAAUUCGGUCAAUACCUAAAUGGGGAACCGCUUGGGAACACCGGGUGUUGUAA
Molecule: non-coding RNA, 116 nt
Organism: Acanthosepion pharaonis
Lineage: Eukaryota; Metazoa; Mollusca; Cephalopoda; Sepiida; Sepiidae
Source: the annotation of a GenBank genome assembly